UAAUGGAUAAUUAUUUUUUCAGAUGCCUCGAAGAGCAGUAUCAUCUAGAGGUAGAGGACAUAGCCAGCAGCUCUCUACGAAUGAAACAGAUGAGCCAGUACAGAUGCAAGAGGAAACACUGGAGCACACUCCAGCAGCAUUAGAGGGACAAGCAAACGCAUCAUCAUCAUCAUCAGUUCGAACUAGAGGUCCGAACUUGGGACAUCCUAUCCCAUCAAACCCGUCUGAUCGGCAAUUGAUCAGAUUGAAAGGAAAUGUCUUUUUAGAUUCCACAGUUACUAGAUCAAUCAAUAAUGACAUUAAGAUGCGCUACACUGCUCCAUGGAAAACUUGGUCAGAAAUACCUUUAAAGACAAAAGACGAGCUCUUCUGACUUUUUCGGAGUCGAUAUGUAUGGGAUGAGAGUGAAGAAGAUAUGAUUCGAACUGCUUGGGAAAAGGUAGGAAAAGAAAGACUGCGAGACAUUCUUAAUAGAGUUAGGAGUGAAUUGUUGCGUAAGCACAAGAAGACAGAUAUUGCUUAUCUAUACA
Long non-coding RNA from Manihot esculenta (cassava), 530 nucleotides. RefSeq lists it as uncharacterized. NCBI's taxonomy places the organism in Eukaryota, Viridiplantae, Streptophyta, Magnoliopsida, Malpighiales, Euphorbiaceae. The record is from RefSeq and is a predicted model, not a curated record. The transcript is spliced from 3 exons.